Molecule: long non-coding RNA, 2204 nt
Organism: Onychostruthus taczanowskii (white-rumped snowfinch)
Lineage: Eukaryota; Metazoa; Chordata; Aves; Passeriformes; Passeridae
Exons: 3
Source: RefSeq, a predicted model, not a curated record
UGGAGGAGGAGUGGAGAGGGGAGUGGAACCAGCCUGUCUCCUUGUACUCAAAAUGAAACAUGAUAAAGAAACAAACUGCAUAAAGGAUGACUAACAAAGACAGCUUUAAAAAUCAUUCCAGGGUUAGUCUUCUCAGGUUGACAGCAGGAAAGGACAUUCGGUUUCACACAUUACGUCAGUUUUAGUCCAUCUCCCUUUCAAGUUCUCUGUCUGCUCUUACCACAGAUCCAGCCACCCACACCCUCUGAGACCGCCUGCAGAACCCCAGGCACGGCCACUUCUUUACAGUCACACAGAUCUUUUACAACGGCUUUGGAAAACCUCUGCAUUCUGCCUGGCCCCUCUGCUCCCCAUGGAUGGGAGGGAAUUGCUUGCCCAGUGUCCGUGGACAAUCCACCGAAUGAGCAAACCCUUCCCACAAACCCUGUCACCAGCUGAUUCCUGCACGCUCCUCUCUCCCGCGAUGCCGGAGGGAGCGCCGGAGGUUCCUUGGCGGCUGAUGGAAUACCGAGGUUGGCUCCAGGCGCAGCUGCCCCGACCCCCACGGGCUGAUUCCACAGGAAACAGCGCAAACAUCUGCACCGCCGAACUGCCUGACAGACCUCGGCAGAGCUCUGCUCCGGCACUCCAGCCUUUGGAAAUCCAGCACACUGCAAGCUGCCGUAGCCCCAGCAAUCCCCACCAGCUGAAACAACGGGCUGGAAAGUCUGUUUUCUCCAUAUCUGCUCCCUGUCCCUUUUGAAAAUGCAGUAUAUCAAUUCAAACGAUUGUAAAGGUCCAGCUUUUCCAGUGUGGAUCAUCCAGUUCCAGAGCAAGCUCCCAAAGGCGCAGGGAACACUGUCAUUGCAGUGCCAUUGCACUUGGGCAGAUCCUGGUGAACCACCGAAGAGAAAGGCUCAGUGUUUUGGAGGAGAGGCAUCUGCUCCAGCCCCGUCCCGCUGCCGAGGAGCUCACACCGGCCCUGGAGGGGAGCCAGGCUCGCAGACUGCGCUCGGAGUUUACAUGACAAAGCAGCUCAUUCCUAAUUAAACUUCAUCCAGCACUUUUCUGUCUCAUACAUAAUUAGCGCAGAACAACAAACACAGAGGAAUUAUUCCAGCUGCUUGUAACACUGAAGGUCCAUGAGAGCCUGGGAGAAUGUAUCCACAUGCAGGCUUAUCUCUUCAUUUCAGACCAUUCAUCAUCCCUUGCCUGGAAGCAACAGUUAAUUUCCAACAACUCAGUGUCAAGAUGGCAGUUUAAAUCCUCUUGAGGAUUGCCCCAGGAGAAGAUUUUGUCCCAGUUCUUUUGCAGCCACUGUAGAGUCAGCCUCUUUUGAUGUCACUCAGUUUUAGAGUGUGAUUGAAAUAAAGAAAGAGUGAAGAUCUGCUGGUGACCAUCCCAACCCAAGGAAGGAUCAAAUCUCCAGAGCCUUCUCUUGGGAUUUCAAUAGGGACAGAAAUUAAGAGUCAGAAUGGUUUGGGGUGGAAGGGACCUUAAAGAUCACCCAUCUCCCUCCCUCCUGCCAUGCUCAGGGACACCUCCCACUACCCAGAAAGGAAAAAUACAUCCUGCCAGAAAAUGCUGCAUGUCAUGGAGAGGAUUUCCUAGGGUUACCAUUUUCUCUGGAUAUAGAUUAGCACAACUCUUGCAUGAAGUAGGAGAUACUUCCAACUUAGAGUGGGGGAGAAGGACCUGAGCCAACACCAACACACUGGACCUUUCUGAAAAGGCCACAUCCCAAACAGACCUGUCCCCCACACCUCCCAAACAGCAACCCUGAUAAAAUCCCCAGGAAGAACCCGCAGAGCAGAGUCCUGACAUCCCCUUCUCCCCUUUUCUCUUACAUUUAUUUGGAUUCAGCUUUAUCUCUUUAAGGACUCUCUCAGCACAUUUUACUGGUGUCAGUGCCCCUUUUACCAAGGACAAUCUGCAUGGAACAUUUUGGAAAGCAAUGAUUUAAGAAGCUGCAGGCAGCAUGGCAGAGUGGCUGACGAGCCAUCUCUGGAAAUCAGAAGGUGUCUAAAGAGGGUGUUUACAAGCAGAACGCUGCUAAAAGUCUGCCUUGGUUGCAGAUAACAAGGCUGAGACAAUGACAGAUUUCCUUCCCCUGGCAGCCAAGAGCAGCUCCCCGUGAUUGCCUCGCCGUGUUUAUCCAGGAUGCUGGGAGAGAGCAGGCACCAAAUAUGCAAUUAAUUGGCAGUUUGCAAGAGCAUAUUGCCUAA